This 762-nucleotide ribosomal RNA is filed under the name Bacillus cereus. RNAcentral's name for it is "bacterial SSU rRNA". It matches the Rfam family "Bacterial small subunit ribosomal RNA", at positions 41 to 783 of the family's 1533-position model. The record is from RNAcentral. Lineage: Bacteria; Bacillati; Bacillota; Bacilli; Caryophanales; Bacillaceae.
GGCGGGGUUCUAUACAUGCAGUCGAGCGAAUGGAUUAAGAGCUUGCUCUUAUGAAGUUAGCGGCGGACGGGUGAGUAACACGUGGGUAACCUGCCCAUAAGACUGGGAUAACUCCGGGAAACCGGGGCUAAUACCGGAUAACAUUUUGAACCGCAUGGUUCGAAAUUGAAAGGCGGCUUCGGCUGUCACUUAUGGAUGGACCCGCGUCGCAUUAGCUAGUUGGUGAGGUAACGGCUCACCAAGGCAACGAUGCGUAGCCGACCUGAGAGGGUGAUCGGCCACACUGGGACUGAGACACGGCCCAGACUCCUACGGGAGGCAGCAGUAGGGAAUCUUCCGCAAUGGACGAAAGUCUGACGGAGCAACGCCGCGUGAGUGAUGAAGGCUUUCGGGUCGUAAAACUCUGUUGUUAGGGAAGAACAAGUGCUAGUUGAAUAAGCUGGCACCUUGACGGUACCUAACCAGAAAGCCACGGCUAACUACGUGCCAGCAGCCGCGGUAAUACGUAGGUGGCAAGCGUUAUCCGGAAUUAUUGGGCGUAAAGCGCGCGCAGGUGGUUUCUUAAGUCUGAUGUGAAAGCCCACGGCUCAACCGUGGAGGGUCAUUGGAAACUGGGAGACUUGAGUGCAGAAGAGGAAAGUGGAAUUCCAUGUGUAGCGGUGAAAUGCGUAGAGAUAUGGAGGAACACCAGUGGCGAAGGCGACUUUCUGGUCUGUAACUGACACUGAGGCGCGAAAGCGUGGGGAGCAAACAGGAUUAGAU